UUAUUGUGAUUAUAUGGCAGGCAUAUUGUUGAAUAUUAAUGGAAAUGCUUAUACCGUGUUAAAACAUGAUCGUGUCGUUAUGGACGAAAUUUUUAUACCUAUGUGUUUACUCAGUACUUACGAAAACCAUUUAUGAAAAACUAAAGGAAGCCCCGACGGACAUAUACAGAUGGUGGUGUGAUUUAAAAGAUUGUUUUGACGAUUAGGAACCGUAUUAGGAUGCUAACUGUUUAUUUAUAAACUCAUUUGCUUUAUAUUUAAGAUUUAUUGCCUUAUCACUUAUAAAUAAGAUGUUUAAUUGUUAAUAAAUGUAUUGGUUGUAAAAGAGGUGCUGUAAUAAAAGUGUAUAGCCAAUAUAUUACUGAAUCAUAAAAAAUGUAUAGGUUGAGUAACGAUGCAACAUAAAAUCAUACAUAUUUAUGAAUCUAUUUUUUGAUUGAAUAUGUAAACGGGCUUAUUGUAAAUAUACUACUCAUAAUUAUAAAUACUU
Molecule: long non-coding RNA, 490 nt
Organism: Macrosteles quadrilineatus (aster leafhopper)
Lineage: Eukaryota; Metazoa; Arthropoda; Insecta; Hemiptera; Cicadellidae
Exons: 2
Source: RefSeq, a predicted model, not a curated record